AAGACCUUGCGCUUUUGGAGCGGCCGAMGCCUGAUUAGCUUGUUGGUAAGGUAAAAGCUUACCAAGGCUUCGAUCAGUAGCUGGUCUGAGAGGACGGCCAGCCACACUGGGACUGAGWCACGGCCCAGACUCCUACGGGAGGCAGCAGUGGGGAAUUUUGGACAAUGGGGGCAACCCUGAUCCAGCCAUGCCGCGUGAGUGAAGAAGGCCUUCGGGUUGUAAAGCUCUUUCAGCCGGAACGAAACGGUUACGGUUAAUACCCGUGACUACUGACGGUACCGGAAGAAGAAGCACCGGCUAACUACGUGCCAGCAGCCGCGGUAAUACGUAGGGUGCGAGCGUUAAUCGGAAUUACUGGGCGUAAAGCGUGCGCAGGUGGUUUUGUAAGUCAGAUGUGAAAGCCCCGGGCUCAACCUGGGAACU
RNAcentral lists this ribosomal RNA (423 nucleotides) under uncultured bacterium. Its description in RNAcentral is "bacterial SSU rRNA". It matches the Rfam family "Bacterial small subunit ribosomal RNA", at positions 207 to 622 of the family's 1533-position model. The record is from RNAcentral.